AGCCUUGAUCUGCCAGUAAACCAGCAUUAAGACACCCGGCCUUUUACCAGCAUCAAUUUGCAUCGAAGAAUCCCUCCAAACUUCCUAGCUGAGCAGCGUUGCCGCCUCCAUUGAAACCCCAAACAGGAGAAUCGUCAGCAUUGCCGAGGUUGAAAUAUGUUGCCAUGGCUGCCCAACUAUUGCCCGACGAACUACCUCUAUCGAGAUCCACAAGUUUCUCAUCUUCCUCAUUGUCCAACCCCACCAACAUUGCUAAUCGCCCCCAUUUUGGUCUCAAGCCAUCUAUAGUUUUCUCCAUGCUUGCAAUUUCAGUUAAGUCGAGAUCGUCCCGGCAAGGUGUGAUUGCAAUGAAAGCACCCAAACCUAGACGUGCAUGGGUUGUCACCGAGAAGCAUCAACGGUGAGGGUCUAAGAAGCAAUAGUCGGGUGUGGAGAGGAAACCGUGCUUGGAAAGGAGACCGACACCGAUCUCCACGGUUGAAGCACCAAGCCAAAGCGGCUAGGUUUUGGGAGCCUCGUAGAGGCCAUAUAGAUUCACACUACAAGAAAAGUGAUCAUUCACGACGUGAGAUUUAUAGCAUGCAUUAAAUGCAAGCUGUGAAUAAGUAUUAUUUACGACAAAUAAUAAAAGCACGUUGUGCUUGAUACUUUUCAAUUACAUUUUUUACAGCGUGCUCCCUUUGUAUGCCGUGAUUCUGCAAAAGCACCAAAAUUUUUGGCCAAAUAUUAAACUUUCCUCUCAGAUGAAAAAGAAGGAGAUUCACUCUCUCCCUCUCCCUCUCCCUCUCAGAGACUCUCUCUCCCCCACAAAAUCUCCUCCGCUCCCGAAACCCUAAAACCAUUGCCGCUUCUCCUCCUCCUCCACUUGCAACCCUAUCCCUGCCGCCCAGUUUUCCCUCCUCGUCUGCUCCAACGGGACUGCCUUUAACGGUGUCGUCAAGAAGCUCAAGAAUUUCAACACUUGAGUCCCCCACGUGCUUCCAGUUUCCGGCGACGGAAGAAUCACCGCUGAGAUUAUCAGUGUCCUCGGUAAUUUCUAGUAUUUCGUUUCAAAAUUGAAUGUGUUUCUGUCUGGGGAUUAUUGUUUAUUUUGGAUUAGGUGUUCCGACCGUCGAAGAUAUAUACAUGGUCUAGAUGCUUGAGAUUCCGAGGCGGUCGUCGUCAGGCAGUUGCUUAGUCAUCAUUUACCACUUGAUGCACGGCAAGCCAAAUCUGAAUGGUGAGACUUGGUUGUUGUAUUAAGAAUCAUGUUAUUUAGGGACUGCAUUUGAAAUUAUGAGCAUAUUGUGAAGUGAUGGAAAUGUAUGGUUGGUUUAUUGUCUACUUUGUUAUACUAUUCGUCAUUUUUGGGUGAUGUAAUUAUAUUUUCCUAAAUUACUUUGGUUCUAAUAGAUCUUCCUCUUGGCUUAUGUACGUUUAUUCAAAUGAAAUUGGUUUACGAUCAGUUGACACCAAUUUUCCUGUUUUUGCUUUAAUGGAUUGAUUGCUGGUCUUCAUGUUUACUUGCAAGUUACUGGAAUCUUUUGACAUAGUUGUAUAUAAGGCUGGUUUCUGCUUUGCUGUUCAUAUGUUUCUCAACGAAAUUAGAUUUGUUUAAUGGUUUUUGCCUCAUAAUAAUUGGGUCCAAGCUCUGAAUUGUUGUUUAAUACUGUAAAUGCAUGCACAAAAAUGAUAUUUCUGUUCUAUUCUGGUUGGAAUUUAUGAUCUAUUGUAUGCAUAUGUCAUAUUUGUUUUUCAGAGAAAGUUUGUGUGAAUGUGAUGAGUUUAGGCUGCAUCAAAAGCAACUAGCUGAUUGCUUGUUUCAAAGGUAAAAGGUUACCCUAUUGUCUGUCAAUAUCUAUUUGGUUGCAAAUAAAUAAGGUUUUUCGCUUUAAGUAGGCAAAUUUGCAUAUGAGAUUUAAACAGUAGUGAAGUCAAAUUGCAAACACACAGUUUUAUGCCCUUGGAGCUGGAUCCUUAUUUGAUGUGUGGGAGGAUUCUGAUUACAUUCGAUACUCCUAUUGCUAAAGUUAUAGAUGAGUAUACCAGGCACUGGAGGACAAAAACAAGCAUCUUCUCUAACAAACUCGGGGAAAGACUUUAAAAGGAAGAAAAGAACAGAAAUCUGUAUUGUUUCUUAGUGCUGCUACAUACCCCACCCUUCCUACAGAGGUAAAUCUUCAAGCUCUAUGAUUCCAUUUGGUUUAUUUUCCUACGACUUUGAUACAGAUAUGUACUCAUGGUUUUAGAGUUAUUGCACUUGAUCGGUAUCCGAUGUGGUAAAUCAAAGUAGGUCAAUAUGAAAAAGUUGGCGCCAGCUUUUUCUCUGUAGCCAGGGCAACAGAAGCUCAGUUAUUUCUAGAAGGGAUAUAUGAUAUUGAAAAUAGAGUGAAGGAAGCAGAUUGAUGUGCAGAUAAUGUAGAUAAUGCACCGGCUGCUAUUAUCAAUCUUGUUGGUACCAAGGAGUAUGACAAAUGUGCCAAGGAUGUCUUUUACAGUUUUACUUUCUUCAGGUAGUUAUAGUCAUUAGAGGGUUAAGAACACAUGUUAUUUCUGCCUUUCUAUCUAAUUUGACCCUCAUUUCCUUGUGAGUUGUUAUAGCCAAGGAUCACUAAUUAUAGUUGAUUGAGAUAAUUUUGAUGAAGAGUUUCUUUUACAUUUGGUAUCUUGUACAUCUAUUUUGUUUCAUUAAGUGUCUAAAGAUGAUAUGGCUAAUGGCUACAAUAUUGGGGUGACCCUGAA
This is a long non-coding RNA of Rosa chinensis, 2721 nucleotides long. RefSeq lists it as uncharacterized. The record is from RefSeq and is a predicted model, not a curated record. The transcript has 2 exons. Lineage: Eukaryota; Viridiplantae; Streptophyta; Magnoliopsida; Rosales; Rosaceae.